Molecule: transfer RNA, 55 nt
Filed under: Loxodonta africana (African savanna elephant)
Lineage: Eukaryota; Metazoa; Chordata; Mammalia; Proboscidea; Elephantidae
Rfam family: tRNA
About the family: Transfer RNA (tRNA) molecules are approximately 80 nucleotides in length.
Source: Rfam by way of RNAcentral
GCAAAUGGUUAAUGCUCUUGACUGCUAACCAAAAGGCUGGUGGUUCAAGUCCACC